CACUGCACUCAGCCUGCACGAGAGUGAGGCCCUGUCUCAAAAAGAUGUUUUAAAGAAAGCAUCACGAGGUUCAUCUGAUCUUUCUGCUUACUGCUCUGUCAAAUCUAAGAACCAUUAAAAAAUCAGCUGACUACCGGGAUGAAAAGGGCUGCCAGUCUCCUAGAAGUUGUUAUUACAACGACAGCACUUUUUCUAAAUUAACAGUUGUUCAAAUCUUUGGUAAUCUCAUUUGCCGUUUGCUACAGCUCAGUGCAAUAGAGAGUAGUCUUUACCGUGGGCACUGAGCAGCUGAUGCACCGGGACUCCGGGAAAUCAAGCACCUGACGCGUCUCACGCGACCGCACCAAACCAAGCAAGCCGCCCGUGCCUCCCGUCAGGCCCCGCGAAGCGAAGCACCGCCCCGCAGGCAUCGGGCCAAUCUCAGAGGGCGCGCACGGCGCGUCAGGACCCCGGAACCCGCCCCGUUGGGUGGAGGGAGAGAUGGAGAAUCCAGAAGCUCAGACCCAGCGCAAGCGUUUUCCGGGAGCGGUGGUCUUCAUGAUCCUUUGAAACAAAGCUUCUGAAUGGCUGCUCCACUGCAGUCUUAAGCACUUUCAUCACUAAUAACGAGGAGCCUAACAUCCCUAAGCCUCAGGCUUUUGCUUUUAUUUCCUCAUAGCUGUUUUAUCUUUCCCACAAUACACACCACACACCUUCAGGUUAAAUCACCAGAAGUGGAGUUAGCGAAUCUUUGCUAUAUUAAUUUUCCAAGUAGUGUUGUAUCGAAUUAAAAUAAAACCAAAAAUUUCAUUCAA
Macaca mulatta (Rhesus monkey) is the source of this 794-nucleotide non-coding RNA. The record is from RefSeq and is a predicted model, not a curated record. NCBI's taxonomy places the organism in Eukaryota, Metazoa, Chordata, Mammalia, Primates, Cercopithecidae.